This 253-nucleotide ribosomal RNA is filed under the name uncultured bacterium. RNAcentral's name for it is "partial 16S ribosomal RNA". It matches the Rfam family "Bacterial small subunit ribosomal RNA", at positions 524 to 776 of the family's 1533-position model. The record is from RNAcentral.
UACGUAGGCAGCAAGCGUUGUUCGGAUUUACUGGGCGUAAAGGGUGUGUAGGUGGCCUGUUAAGUUCCGUGUGAAAUCUCCCGGCUCAACCGGGAGGGUGCGCGGAAAACUGGCGGGCUAGAGUACGGGAUGGGAGAGUAGAAUUCCUGGUGUAGCGGUGAAAUGCGUAGAUAUCAGGAGGAAUACCGGUGGUGUAGACGGCUCUCUGGACCGUAACUGACGCUGAGACACGAAAGCGUGGGUAGCAAACAGG